AACUGGAAAACUGGAACUGUGAUGAACUGGAACAGUUACUGGCUUUGGACUGGAGAAAUGCCUUUGCUGUGUGUAAGCCAAGGCCCUUAGCAGAUGGCAACUCUUCAGCUGGCAUGGAUUAGGAUAGGGUGUUUCCUUGAAUAGACUAUAGCCUGGGGGAGCUGCUGGAUUAAGAUCCCUGUGAUUAAACCUGGUCUAUCAGCUCAUUAUUGCAUCUCCUGGCACCACUGAGCAAAUGGGCUGACACAGCACAGCUCCCUGCUGACCUCCCAGCAACGGCUGAUUGACUUUGCAAGGAUUUUUCAUUUCAGAAACAUUUGCAAUUUCCUGAAAUGACUCCAAAGAAUCACAUCAUUUUAUUUCAUAUUCGUGUUUGCUUGCAUCAGUUAUUUUGGGGGUAGGAAAGGAGGGGAUGAAAUUGUUUUAUAUAAAUAAGUUGAAUGUAUUUCAUAGCAAGCAAUGUUCUGACCCUGGCACUAUUGCCUUUCUACCCUUCUAUAUUGAAAUUCAUUGUGCUUGGAUAUCUCUGGUUUCCCAGAAUCCCACUGUUUCAUUUGUUUUGCUAUGCAGAAGUAUCAUUAUAGCUCACUUUAUGCCUUUUGUUAAGAAUUAGCACUCCUGAGAAUCAAAAAUGAAGAUGUGAAUGUUCACACAAUUAAAUAAUUGCAGGUAUUAACAAUGAGUUGUCCACCCACAGGCUCAGCAGGUGCUGGAGCAAUCGGCUGGGAAAUGGAGUAUUUCUGGACCUGGGCAUGUGUUCCCAGAAACCUGGUAAUUGAGGCAACAUGGAUUUUGGAAUGCAGAACAUCAGAACUACCAAACAUGCCCUGGAACAGAGAAUCACUACGCCUGCCCUGUUCUCCAGAAGGAUCUCCAAAGACAUGUAUUCCUAAUUUCGCUUCAGUAAGGUGUUCUGUUAUCCCCUUCUCCAGGCAGCUUCUCCUGACCCAGACUACAGCAGGGAGCAAUACUCACCUUGUGCCACAUUGCAACUGA
RNAcentral lists this long non-coding RNA (996 nucleotides) under Cyanistes caeruleus (blue tit). RNAcentral's name for it is "lncRNA (ENSCCEG00000012822.1)". Lineage: Eukaryota; Metazoa; Chordata; Aves; Passeriformes; Paridae. The record is from RNAcentral.